This 279-nucleotide long non-coding RNA is filed under the name Musa acuminata (dwarf banana). RNAcentral's name for it is "long non-coding RNA (MACU_LNC010176)". The record is from RNAcentral. Lineage: Eukaryota; Viridiplantae; Streptophyta; Magnoliopsida; Zingiberales; Musaceae.
CGGCUGGAAUUCUGCAAUAUAUCUUUCGUCGUAGAGAUGAAAACUUUGUGACGAAAAGUUUAUGCAGCAAUAUAGGAACAAUUUUUUUUUUUUUGAUUUUCGAAUAAGGAUAACUAAAUUGCAGCAGCAAUAAGGUAGGAAACCAGUGUUAGGAUCAAGAGCACUAAGAGGGGGGGGGGGGGGGGGAAUUAGUGUAGCAGAAAACUUUCGACAAUUAAAAUCGUGUUCGUACGAUAAGAGCGAUUUCGGUAGAAAAUCUUAUUCAUAAAUCACUUUAAC